UACGUAGGGGGGCGAGCGUUGUCCCGGAGUUACUGGGCGUAAAGCGCACGCAGGCGGUCUGCUAAGUUUGGAGUGACAGUUGGUGGCUUAACUGCCAAAGUGCUUCGAAAACUGACAGACUUGAGGGCUUCAGAGGGACACGGAAUUCCGGGUGGAGUGGUGAAAUGCGUAGAGAUCCGGAGGAACACCAAAGGCGAAGGCAGUGUCCUGGGGAGUACCGACGCUCAGGUGCGAAAGCCAGGGGAGCGAACGGG
This 254-nucleotide ribosomal RNA is filed under the name uncultured bacterium. RNAcentral describes it as "partial 16S ribosomal RNA". It matches the Rfam family "Bacterial small subunit ribosomal RNA", at positions 524 to 776 of the family's 1533-position model. The record is from RNAcentral.